UGUUUGUGUGUGUUUGUAUGUGCGUGGGGGAGCCCCUCGAUUGUGUUCUGUCCUCACUCACUCCUACAAUCCAAACCCUAAUCCUUCUCUGUUCUAUUGCUUUUUUUGUUGGAUUCCGUUGAUUAAUUAUCAUUUAUGACCAUGUGAUACAUAAUUCAGUGAAAAGAACAAGAUAACUCAAUCUUGAGUGAUGCGUGAAGCUUGUUGAUCACCACGGGUCCGGGAUUUGCUUAAAUGAGCUGUUUUCAUUCACCAACAUAACUUCAGGUUAGGAGAUUUUACUCUCAAAGUUCAUUGAUCACGUAUUGAUAUUGUUGUCCAAUGUUCUUCUAUUUUGCUGUUGCUCAAAACUAGUCAUGCUGAUUCUGUAAAUGGUGUAGUUUUUGCCUGAA
Cucurbita maxima (winter squash) is the source of this 392-nucleotide long non-coding RNA. RefSeq lists it as uncharacterized. The transcript is spliced from 2 exons. The record is from RefSeq and is a predicted model, not a curated record. NCBI's taxonomy places the organism in Eukaryota, Viridiplantae, Streptophyta, Magnoliopsida, Cucurbitales, Cucurbitaceae.